This 459-nucleotide ribosomal RNA is filed under the name uncultured bacterium. RNAcentral's name for it is "partial 16S ribosomal RNA". It matches the Rfam family "Bacterial small subunit ribosomal RNA", at positions 338 to 795 of the family's 1533-position model. The record is from RNAcentral.
CCUACGGGAGACAGCAGUGAGGAAUAUUGGUCAAUGGCCGAGAGGCUGAACCAGCCAAGUCGCGUGAGGGAAGAAUGUCCUAUGGAUUGUAAACCUCUUUUGUCAGGGAGCAAAGUCACCCACGUGUGGGUUUUUGCGAGUACCUGACGAACAAGCAUCGGCUAACUCCGUGCCAGCAGCCGCGGUAAUACGGAGGAUGCGAGCGUUAUCCGGAUUUAUUGGGUUUAAAGGGUGCGUAGGCGGGUUAUCAAGUCAGCGGUAAAAUCGUGGGGCUCAACUCCAUCCAGCCGUUGAAACUGAUGAUCUGGAGUGGGCGAGAAGUAGGCGGAAUGCGUGGUGUAGCGGUGAAAUGCAUAGAUAUCACGCAGAACUCCGAUUGCGAAGGCAGCAUACCGGAGCCCGACUGACGCUGAAGCACGAAAGCGUGGGUAUCGAACAGGAUUAGAUACCCCAGUAGUC